This 253-nucleotide ribosomal RNA is filed under the name uncultured bacterium. RNAcentral describes it as "partial 16S ribosomal RNA". It matches the Rfam family "Bacterial small subunit ribosomal RNA", at positions 524 to 776 of the family's 1533-position model. The record is from RNAcentral.
UACAGAGGGGGCAAGCGUUGUUCGGAAUUACUGGGCGUAAAGGGCGCGUAGGCGGCCUGUUAAGUCGAACGUGAAAUCCCUGGGCUCAACCCAGGAACUGCGUCCGAUACUGGCAGGCUUGAAUUCGGGAGAGGGAUGUGGAAUUCCAGGUGUAGCGGUGAAAUGCGUAGAUAUCUGGAGGAACACCGGUGGCGAAGGCGGCAUCCUGGACCAUUACUGACACUGAAAAGCGAAAGCCAGGGGAGCAAACGGG